GCUGGAUCCCUCGCCGAGUCGCUGAAAUCGAAAGAUCAAUUCAAAAUGCCCUCGCCGACGCCCUUUACAAACGCCUCGAAUAUGCUCCGGCACCGCCUUCUCCCUUCUCUCCGCACCCGCGGUGGAGCCGCCGCCGGACAGAGCCGGUGGACCAGUCCCGGUCACGAGGAGCGCCCCAAAGGGUAUCUUUUCAAUCGGACGCCACCUCCACCAGGUGAGUCCCGUAAAUGGGAGGAUUGGG
This 241-nucleotide unclassified non-coding RNA is filed under the name Hevea brasiliensis (rubber tree). Lineage: Eukaryota; Viridiplantae; Streptophyta; Magnoliopsida; Malpighiales; Euphorbiaceae. The record is from RNAcentral.